RNAcentral lists this long non-coding RNA (226 nucleotides) under Ananas comosus (pineapple). RNAcentral's name for it is "long non-coding RNA (ACOM_LNC039840)". The record is from RNAcentral. Lineage: Eukaryota; Viridiplantae; Streptophyta; Magnoliopsida; Poales; Bromeliaceae.
UACAUGUUGGACUUGAAAUUUGACUUAGGAGAAAACCUGCGUUUUGACCCGUCAUAUGCUUAAACUACCAGAUUUAGCUUUAGGAGCCGUGAUUCGAUUGUAUCGUUGCAGUAUCAGUGCGAUGGAUAUCUGGGGUAGUUUAGAAGGCAUUUACGCUCGUGCUGGGGUGCCGAGCUUAUUUUUCAGCAGAGUUUAGGCUGUUUCGGGUCGUUGGGUGCCGUUCGGG